AAAUAGCAAUUUUGUUUAACGAUUAGAAAGAGAUCCGAAAUUACCAUUCUUAUCAAUCAUCCUUACAUAUAAGAUCCUAUAAAAUUUCCUGCUUAGGCUACAUUUUAAAUGUUUUUGUCAUCAAUUUAAAAAAGCAAUCGUGUAGCAUUGCAUGCUCUUCUCGCGUCUAUCGGUAGAAUCAAUUCGAAUUUAUUCAUCCACGAGAGAAGUCACGCAGCAUAUUGUUCCUCAUCCAAACGACAAUCUAUUUUAUAAAAAUGUUGAUGUUUCUACAUUGUUAAAGGCAAAUUCGUUUGAGAAAUAUUAAAUUUCUCUUUACGCUGUACGAUAUUUGUUUGUAUAGACUUCUGUUCACUCAGGCAUUCUGUAGUUUUUUUAUUUAUUUCAAAAACGAUGUUUUCAUUCUUCUUCCAUUUUUGAUACUUUUAGAGCAUCACACGACGUUUCUACAAUCAAGAUCUUCUUCUAUGAUGUAUUCGCUCAGUUAGCUUUGCGUCGGUGGAAAACAAAGAGAAGCAUAACAACAGUUUUCGCUUUAUUUCACCUCCAGUUCGGCCCCCGACUGUGUACCAGCUCGCAUGUUGUUCCUAUAAACAAAUAAAGAGGGCGAGUGAAAGUCUUGAGGGCUGAGCGUUUUGUGGGGCCGACUGAAUAAAAUUGGCCUGAGUCACGCGUCAUCUUUUUAUGGAAACAAACAUAUCAGUCGCGUAUACCAUGAAAUAAAUGAAAGGUGGAGAUCCGAGGCAAGUAAGGGGAAGAGUGAAGCAUGAGGAUGAAAAGUAAAUCCUUUUUCGUGGCAAGACAUUGAAUUACGGCUCACUAUGGAAGCAGGCAGAGAGAGGCAGUACAAGAGUUCUUACGUUGGAGGACCAAGAGGACAUGAAGAACGAAUAAGCCAAGCGGAAGAAGGAUUACUAGAAGUAGUAAUGGCAGCAGAAAUACAAGUGAAAUCAAAAAAGUAUAGCAAAACGUAUAUGAGAGAAUAGAAUGAAGAAAGAGGCUUCUUGGGAGGAAAAUUUAAGAAAUGUAUUAUGUUCUUAAGAAUACUCGAUGAUAGAGCAAAUGUAUUCUUUUGCUAUAUACAAGAAGAGUUCAAUUUUCGUCUGCUAGAAAGAGAAUAUAUCGAAAAACACUGGAAUGAAAAGGAGAAAUAAGUCAUCUGAUGGUUGAGAAAUGUUCGAGGUCAAAUUAGACUUUUCUCACUUCAACACCGAUUCCACUGCGGGACUAUUUGUUACGAACGUUUUGAUCUUUAAUGACGUUGGAUUUGGAUACUCUGUUAUGCGGUCCUUGCCCAAGGCAGUGUCAACAAUGUCUCCCCAGCGAUUUGGCUCCUCUUUGAUUCGGCGUGCUUCGACUAGCUCUUUCUGCUCACGCCAGAGCUGGCCUUAUAUACCCGAGAAUCGGUGAAGCCAGAGAUAGCAAUUUCGAUGGGUUUCCACCCGUGUGCCUCUUCAGGACUGUAUGCAUAAUUUGAACGGGGUUCACCACAUUUUCCUUGCACUCGCGGUUGGGAUAAUACGGAGCUCAAGAGACCGCUUCGAAAGAUCACACGAUGUCCUUCCUGUUCAUGUAUAAUGAUAAUUCGAUGCAGACGCCAUUCCAAAUAUCGC
RNAcentral lists this long non-coding RNA (1613 nucleotides) under Venturia canescens. RNAcentral describes it as "uncharacterized LOC122406652, transcript variant X1". The record is from RNAcentral. Lineage: Eukaryota; Metazoa; Arthropoda; Insecta; Hymenoptera; Ichneumonidae.